Passer domesticus (house sparrow) is the source of this 2123-nucleotide long non-coding RNA. RefSeq lists it as uncharacterized. The transcript is spliced from 3 exons. The record is from RefSeq and is a predicted model, not a curated record. NCBI's taxonomy places the organism in Eukaryota, Metazoa, Chordata, Aves, Passeriformes, Passeridae.
CGCGGUCCCGCCGAGCCGGGCGGGCGCGCGCGGAGUGUCCCCGGCCCUGGGGCCGAGCGGGGCUGUGAGAGGGGUGGUGAGGAGCGGUGAGGAGCUGUGAGGGGCGGUGAGGGGCCGUGAGGAGCUGUGAGGAGCUGUAAGGGGCGGAAACUGCGGCAGAGACAAUGUGUUCACAUGGAGAAAAAGAAGCUGGGGAUUGACAGGCUUUGGAGAAGCAAGAGCAGGCACAGGGAGAGGGACCAGACUCUCAGAGUUUCUCUCCUUAAAUGUGAACCAUUAUUGGAGCUGAACAUACUGUUUAGCCAGACAGUUGUUCUCAGUGUUCUGAAAGGAAUAAUUGAAGGCUCUCUCCGAACUUCUGUCGUGAUGCUCAGCGGGGCCUUAUUGAGAGUGACAAAGGAAAGUUCUGGGAGAGGCUAUGGACCCUAGCAGCUGCUGCAGCAGUCUGAAGCUGAGUUCAAAAUUUGGCUGAUUUUCCACUGUUGUGAUGGUUCCUCAGCAGGUCAUGUCUGUGCUCUGCAGCGAGGCCCUGUAGCUCAGCACGAUGGAGUCCGGGGUGAAGACAACAGAUUUGGUUAAAACAUCCCUCCUCUGAAACCUCAGCACUGGUAACAGCCUGGCAGAGCCCCUCAUGGUGUCACCAGCUUCUCUGCACAGCUCCCGCCCAGCUCCCAUGUGAUGAGCUGUGCCCUUCCCUCAGUUUAUUGCUUUGGCAUGCUGCACCCACCCUUGCUCCAGCGAUCUCAGUGUUGGCCACCAUGGGCUUCCCACACACCAUCCUGCUCCUGCUGCUGCCUGCAUCCUGCCUGGACCCUGCCUGGACCCUGCCUGUGGGCUGGCACCAUGUUCUUCCUCCCAGGCCCCUCCGAUGACACUGUGCUGGCACAGCCCCACUGCCUGGCACAGCAUGGGGAGGUGAUCCCGGCUGGACAUACAGCUCCAUGAUGUCCUCUGCUUGUCCAGAAGAGCUGUGAGAAGCUUGAGCCCAGAGGAGAACCCAGGGGUAGGGGGAGCAGGAGAAGGGAGGAGGGGGACUUUUCCCUCGUAAUUUCAAUAAACUAAAUGAAAGGGGUGGAAAAUUGGUAUUUCAUGCAAACCUUGGUGAGGGUUAAACCACUUCCAGAUGCUGUCUAAGAAGGUUUUGCUCCAACCUGAUCUGUUGCAGAUAAAGCCAUAGACACUCCUGCCAGAUAUUUAUUACAGAGCAGUGGAGUUUCCAAGCAGUGGCGUGAUCCAGGUGGCAUUUUGUGCCAUGCUGUCCCUUAGAGGGAGCAGAGACCACUCAGACAUGUUCCUCCCAAGGACAGCACUGAGCAGCCCCUGGUGCAGACAAGCUGGGGUAGGUGGCCGGGGUGGUGACAGUCCCGUGGGGGACUGGGGAGUGGCAGAUGCUAACAUGAGGGACCCCUUGUCCCUAGACACCACUCUGGCUUUACCCCCUUGCACCAUCCCUUUUCAGCAGGACCAUCCCCAGCUUUUCCCUCUGCUCCCAGUCUGACCUGCUCCAACCCCUCUGGGCUCUGCUCACCUCGGUGGCACCCAGUGGGCAGGGUGAGAAGACCUGGGAGGGUGAUCAGAGGUGACAGAGACAGACAGGUGGCUUUCCUUCCCAUAACAUGGGAGAGCAGGUGCUCCCUUGGUCAUGGCCCUGAGUGAGGUCCAGGGCUGGCUCAGCAAAACCCUGCAGCUCCCAACCCCACAGGCACCUUGUGCCCACCCCAGCAACCCCAGGAUGGAUCUUGCCACUGCCUGUGGCUGAUGCACAGGGUCAUUUUAAAGCUGGAGAAACUGAGGCAUAGUCAGGCCAAGAAUAGAAGAUGAGCUGACUGCACUUCUGGGGCUGCUGCUCUGCUGCACGUGCAGAAGACACGAGGGUCCCACGGCUGAAGCGCAGCUUUGCCGUGGCCGGCAGUGGGUCCGGCAGCGAGUCCCGCAGAGGGUGCAGCACACCUGCCCGAGCGGGAGCAGAGCCGGCAUUCCUGCCCCCGAGCCCUUCCUGCCCCCCCGCCGCCGCUGCGCCCCCGCUGCCUUUCGGCCUCCGCUUGUUUUCUUAGCAGGCGGGUCCCGCGCUUUCCGAGCCCAACAAUUUCCUGCCCGGGCGAACACAUUCCUCUAUUCCCCCA